This is a long non-coding RNA of Chelonia mydas (Green sea turtle), 1182 nucleotides long. RefSeq lists it as uncharacterized. Lineage: Eukaryota; Metazoa; Chordata; Testudines; Cheloniidae. The record is from RefSeq and is a predicted model, not a curated record. The transcript is spliced from 2 exons.
GACAUUGAAGAGGGCACUCAGGGAGGCCCCUGUUGGGCUUGUACUCUGAAAGGGGUUUGCUUAUCUUUUAUCUCACAGACAGAUUGUGUAUGACUUGGCUGGAGGGCUGAGUCAGCAAAGACCCACCACUAAACAGCCCAAUGUGUCAUCAGCAACCAGCUUUAUGUUGGACAACUUGCAUACCAGGACCACCACCAUGCCCCUAUCCUGGCAUAAAGGAUGGAGGCACAAGAUAUAGUUGCAGUGAAGAUGCACCAGUGGGGAAUUCACCUCCAGAAUUGGCUGCUGGACUUUUGCAGUGUGAUUAUAGCAUCUUUGUACCUCCAGAGUGGCACAAAGGGACAACAACCUAGCUUGUGAAUCUGGCCAAUGGCAUAUAAAAUGAUAACAGCAUGCAGCGUGGCUGGCUAGUGACCCUUCUCAAAUUAUGCAACUUCACUAAUGUUCUGGGCACUGGAACAAGGGAUGGCUGGGUAGGUAUGCAGAUAGCACUUUCAACUCCAGCUCCAGUUCUCAAUUUGCUUCACAAACCAUAGUUUAUUUAGUCUCACAACAAGCUAGGGAAAUAGUAUGAUUCUCUUUUUACAGAUGGGGGAAGCAGAAUCUCAGAGCUUGGGUGAACUGUUAAAGUUUGUGGUAGAGGUGGGUAGAGGACACAGGUCUCCCAACCUACAGUCCGCGCACACGUACAUGUAAAUCCUCAAACAUUAGUUUGACUGGCAGCCUGGAUAAUUCCCUGUAAGGCUUAAGUUUAAAAAGGAGCAACAUUCUCACCCUGCAAAAUGAAGAAAAAAUUCACAAAUCAUAUGUGCCAGAGCUGAGGUUACAGCUGCAAGCAUCUGCUCUCAGAUUCAUACAUUGGCCAUGAACAUUUUGAUCUACUCCUGUGCUAUUAGGAAAUAGCUGGGCUACAACAGCUGAGUUACUCCUGAGGGUGAAAUGCUGGUACAUGGCAAUAUUCGCCAAAAGAAAUAAUAUUCUGCUGUGAAACUAUUAACCCAGUGCUCAAAGGCUUCUUUAGCCCCAGACUGUCCAUAUGAUAAGCAGAAUUCAGCUACAACUGGGAAUAGAGGAGGCAGAGGUGCUUCAGGGGAAAGCACAGAAAGCUGCUGUCAGAAUUCAUGUCUGAGUAGCACAGUCUACAUACACCAUGGGCUGUUACAUAGCUGAUUUUUUUUCUCU